AACGAACGCUGGCGGCAUGCCUAACACAUGCAAGUCGAACGAACCCUUCGGGGUUAGUGGCGCACGGGUGCGUAACGCGUGGGGAUCUGCCCAAAGGUUCGGAAUAACUCAGAGAAAUUUGAGCUAAUACCGGAUAAUGUCUUCGGACCAAAGAUUUAUUGCCUUUGGAUGAACCCGCGUAGGAUUAGCUUGUUGGUGGGGUAAAGGCCUACCAAGGCGACGAUCCUUAGCUGGUCUGAGAGGAUGAUCAGCCACACUGGGACUGAGACACGGCCCAGACUCCUACGGGAGGCAGCAGUGGGGAAUAUUGGACAAUGGGCGAAAGCCUGAUCCAGCAAUGCCGCGUGAGUGAUGAAGGCCUUAGGGUUGUAAAGCUCUUUCAGUGGGGAAGAUAAUGACUGUACCCACAGAAGAAGCCCCGGCUAACUCCGUGCCAGCAGCCGCGGUAAAGU
This 452-nucleotide ribosomal RNA is filed under the name uncultured bacterium. RNAcentral describes it as "bacterial SSU rRNA". It matches the Rfam family "Bacterial small subunit ribosomal RNA", at positions 29 to 526 of the family's 1533-position model. The record is from RNAcentral.